GCCGGUUUGGCUCAGUGGAUAGAGCUUCAGCCUGUGGACUGAAGGGUCCCAGGUUCGAUUCCUGGGUAUGUCA
Molecule: transfer RNA, 73 nt
Filed under: Myotis lucifugus (little brown bat)
Lineage: Eukaryota; Metazoa; Chordata; Mammalia; Chiroptera; Vespertilionidae
Rfam family: tRNA
About the family: Transfer RNA (tRNA) molecules are approximately 80 nucleotides in length. Their secondary structure includes four short double-helical elements and three loops (D, anti-codon, and T loops).
Source: Rfam by way of RNAcentral